Molecule: long non-coding RNA, 687 nt
Filed under: Neogale vison (American mink)
Lineage: Eukaryota; Metazoa; Chordata; Mammalia; Carnivora; Mustelidae
Description: Neovison vison (American mink) lncRNA (ENSNVIG00000008813.1)
Rfam family: Pvt1 oncogene conserved region 3 (bases 216-311)
Source: RNAcentral
CUAAAACUCUAACCAGUGGAAAAGGUACUUGUGUGGAUCCUCUGAACCCUGAGUGGAACUUCCUGAAAGAUUUAUUUGGAGAAAAAUCUUGGAAGCAGCAGAAGGACAAACAGAAUGGCUGGCUGGGCAAAGCCUCGUGGCCCGGUCUCCACAACUGGAGGGCAGUUACAUCUUAGAGGCCUGAUCUUUGGACCAGAAAGGAAUGAAAAAGUUGCCCCUUACGAUGGCUGUGCCUUGUCAGUUGCUUGAAGCUGCGUUCAGGGAUUUCCUGAGCCUUAUGGAUUUACAGUGACAUUCAGCUGCCCGAGAAUGACGGCGGAGGAAGCAUGGUCUGGAAUCACACGCACCGGGCACACGUUUGGAUGUUAACGGCAGUUUUCAGGAAGACCAUGGCUGAGUGCCUGGCAGAUCCCUGCACCUGGACACCUGUGGGGGACAGAGGACCGCGGCUUCCUGUGAUGCCUGGGAUCUCUGCCCUGUGUCUGCAUGGGCGUUGGCUUGGGUCGCGGCCAGCCUCACUGAGGAUGCCUGUGAAACAAUCCCAUCAUACCUUGGAUUUUGGUGCUAUCAGUCUGAAAAGCAGACGUACCUGUCUGGUACUCUAGAGGGAAUGUCCUUUCCUGAAUGAAAAAGCUGGGCCAUUUGGGGAUUUGGAGAAUAAAGGUAAGAGAUUUCUCCUCUUGAACA